Molecule: non-coding RNA, 387 nt
Organism: Heterocephalus glaber (naked mole-rat)
Lineage: Eukaryota; Metazoa; Chordata; Mammalia; Rodentia; Bathyergidae
Source: RefSeq, a predicted model, not a curated record
GGAUUCCUUAGAUGUCAUUUGUACAUUAAUGUUUGAAUUGCCCUUAGGAACUUCAUAAAUCAAGGGUGGCUGAGGAAGGCAAUCUAGGAAGGCAGUGUGACCUACCAAGUUAUACGGAGGGCAUUUAGUGUGGCAGAAGAAGCCAAGCCUGAGCACUGAGCCAGAAAUUUUGCCCAAGGUCCCAGGAUGAAGAUAGAUGGAGAAGACCUGAAGCCCAGAGGAAGCCUGGAGUCUUGCCUAACCCAGCUGAGCCCAACUCAGAUCAAAGGACCUGUGGCAGAUCUGCACAUGAGGGAGAAUAUGUUUGCUGUUGUAAGCUAAGCCCCAGAGACACUGACAUUGUUUAUUAUUCAGCAAAACACAACUGAUACAAUUCUUAAAGUAUAA